UUGGAGGGCAAGUCUGGUGCCAGCAGCCGCGGUAAUUCCAGCUCCAAUAGCGUAUAUUAAAGUUGCUGCAGUUAAAAAGCUCGUAGUUGAAUUUUGGAUUCGGCCAAUUGGUCCAUCUUUUAGAUGAGUACUGGUUGUGUUGGGUCUAUCCGCCUGGUGAUACGUAAUGUCCUUUAUUGGGUGCUGCGGGUAGUCAGGACCUUUACCUUGAAAAAAUUAGAGUGUUUAAAGCAGGCUUACGCCGGAAUACAUUAGCAUGGAAUAAUAGAAUAGGACGAAGUUGUUUUAUUUUGUUGGUUUCUAGGACAACCGUAAUGAUUAAUAGGGAUAGUUGGGGGCAUUAGUAUUCAAUUGUCGGAGGUGAAAUUCUUGGAUUUAUUGAAGACUAACUACUGCGAAAGCAUUUGCCAAGGAUGUUUUCAUUAAUCAAGAACGAAAGUUAGGGGAUCGAAGACGAUCAGAUACCGUCGUAGUCUUAACCAUAAACUAUGCCGACUAGGGAUCGGGCGAUGUUGUUUCCAUGACUCGCUCGGCACCUUAUGGGAAACCAAAGUGUUUGGGUUC
This 564-nucleotide ribosomal RNA is filed under the name uncultured Glomeromycotina. RNAcentral describes it as "SSU rRNA". It matches the Rfam family "Eukaryotic small subunit ribosomal RNA", at positions 548 to 1114 of the family's 1831-position model. Lineage: Eukaryota; Fungi; Glomeromycota. The record is from RNAcentral.